AUGAACGCUGGCGGCGUGCCUAAUACAUGCAAGUCGAGCGAACGGACGAGAAGCUUGCUUCUCUGAUGUUAGCGGCGGACGGGUGAGUAACACGUGGAUAACCUACCUAUAAGACUGGGAUAACUUCGGGAAACCGGAGCUAAUACCGGAUGAUAUUUUGAACCGCAUGGUUCAAAAGUGAAAGACGGUCUUGCUGUCACUUAUAGAUGGAUCCGCGCUGCAUUAGUUAGUUGGUAAGGUAACGGCUUACCAAGGCAACGAUGCAUAGCCGACCUGAGAGGGUGAUCGGCCACACGGGAACUGAGACACGGUCCAGACUCCUACGGGAGGCAGCAGUAGGGAAUCUUCCGCAAUGGUCGAAAGCCUGACGGAGCAACGCCGCGUGAGUGAUGAAGGUCUUCGGAUCGUAAAACUCUGUUAUUAGGGAAGAACAUAUGUGUAAGUAACUGUGCACAUCUUGACGGUACCUAAUCAGAAAGCCACGGCUAACUACGUG
Molecule: ribosomal RNA, 496 nt
Filed under: uncultured bacterium
Lineage: Bacteria
Description: partial 16S ribosomal RNA
Rfam family: Bacterial small subunit ribosomal RNA
Source: RNAcentral